CAGCCGCCGCGGUAAAACGGAGGGUGCAAGCGUUAAUCGGAAUUACUGGGCGUAAAGCGCACGCAGGCGGUUUGUUAAGUCAGAUGUGAAAUCCCCGGGCUCAACCUGGGAGCUGCAUCUGAUACUGGCAAGCUUGAGUCCCGUGGAGGGGGGUAGAAUUCCAGGUGUAGCGGUGAAAUGCGUAGAGAUCUGGAGGAAUACCGGUGGCGAAGGCGGCCCCCUGGACGAAGACUGACGCUCAGGUGCGAAAGCGUGGGGAGCAAACAGGAUUAGAUACCCCUGUAGUCCCUGUCUCUUAUAC
Molecule: ribosomal RNA, 301 nt
Filed under: uncultured bacterium
Lineage: Bacteria
Description: partial 16S ribosomal RNA
Rfam family: Bacterial small subunit ribosomal RNA
Source: RNAcentral